This 471-nucleotide ribosomal RNA is filed under the name uncultured bacterium. Its description in RNAcentral is "bacterial SSU rRNA". It matches the Rfam family "Bacterial small subunit ribosomal RNA", at positions 8 to 524 of the family's 1533-position model. The record is from RNAcentral.
AGAGUUUGAUCCUGGCUCAGAACGUACGCUGGCGGCACGCCUAACACAUGCAAGUCGAACGAAGUAGCAAUACUUAGUGGCAGACGGGUGAGUAACAUGUAGGUAUCUGCCCUUUGGCCUGGAAUAACACGAGGAAACUUGUGCUAAUACCGGAUAAGUCUUUACGGAGAAAGCUUUAUGCACCAUUGGAUGAGCCUGCACUUGAUUAGUUUGUUGGUGGGGUAAUGGCCUACCAAGACUGUGAUCAAUAGCUGAUUUGAGAGGAUGAUCAGCCACAUUGGGACUGAGACACGGCCCAAACUCCUACGGGAGGCAGCAGUGGGGAAUCUUGCACAAUGGAGGAAACUCUGAUGCAGCGAUGCCGCGUGAGUGAAGAAGGCCCUUGGGUUGUAAAGCUCUUUCGUCGGGGAAGAAAAUGACUGUACCCGAAUAAGAAGGUCCGGCUAACUUCGUGCCAGCAGCCGCGGUAAU